This is a long non-coding RNA of Silurus meridionalis, 427 nucleotides long. RefSeq lists it as uncharacterized. Lineage: Eukaryota; Metazoa; Chordata; Actinopteri; Siluriformes; Siluridae. The transcript has 2 exons. The record is from RefSeq and is a predicted model, not a curated record.
GGGCGAACAGACAUACCUUGGAGAGUUGGCGGGGGGCAGGACCACCGAACAAACCCGAACUCGAGGUGAUGGAGAUGGCACCACGCCGGCCCAGGACGUGUUUCGGUACUGGCCGGUCCAGUGGUAGCACCGGCAGCUGAACUGGUAUAACUCUGCCCAACUUCUGGAGGGAGUUUUCUUUAUUUGGAAACCACUUGCUGUGCUUGAGGAUGGUUCCAGAUGAACAGCCUAAAGAUCCAUAAGGCUACACUGGAGGGUUAAACAAAAGAAUCAUGAAGGUGGAUUUGGACUGCAAUUAAUAUGAACAGUUAGUUAUGGUGGCUUAGGGCUCUGAAUGUCAUGAACAAUUUUGCAAUCAGUUGUCUAAAGGUGAACAGUUGAUGACCUCAACAAUUAUGGACAUACAAUUAAAGAACAUUUGGAUUCA